CUGCUGCCUUCCGUAGGAGUCUGGGCCGUAUCUCAGUCCCAAUGUGGCCGAUCGACCUCUCAGUCCGGCUACCCAUCGUCGGCUAGGUGGGCCUCUACCCCGCCUACUACCUAAUGGGCCGCGACCCCAUCCCGCGCCGUCGGGGCUUUCCCGCCGCCCCCAUGCGGGGGCCGCGGAGUAUCCGGUAUUAGCCGCCGUUUCCAGCGGUUGUCCCGGAGCGCGGGGCAGGUUGGUCACGUGUUACUCACCCGUUCGCCACUGUAUGUCCGCCCGAGGGCGGUUUAACCG
RNAcentral lists this ribosomal RNA (288 nucleotides) under uncultured bacterium. RNAcentral's name for it is "partial 16S ribosomal RNA". The record is from RNAcentral.